RNAcentral lists this ribosomal RNA (501 nucleotides) under uncultured bacterium. RNAcentral describes it as "partial 16S ribosomal RNA". It matches the Rfam family "Bacterial small subunit ribosomal RNA", at positions 29 to 523 of the family's 1533-position model. The record is from RNAcentral.
AUUGAACGCUGGCGGCAUGCCUUACACAUGCAAGUCGAACGGCAGCACGGGUGCUUGCACCUGGUGGCGAGUGGCGAACGGGUGAGUAAUACAUCGGAACGUACCUUAUCGUGGGGGAUAACGCAGCGAAAGCUGUGCUAAUUCCGCAUACGCCCUGAGGGGGAAAGCGGGGGAUCGAAAGACCUCGCGCGAUUAGAGCGGCCGAUGCCUGAUUAGCUUGUUGGUGGGGUAAAAGCCCACCAAGGCGACGAUCAGUAGCUGGUCUGAGAGGACGAUCAGCCACACGGGGACUGAGACACGGCCCAGACUCCUACGGGAGGCAGCAGUGGGGAAUUUUGGACAAUGGGGGCAACCCUGAUCCAGCAAUGCCGCGUGAGUGAAGAAGGCCUUCGGGUUGUAAAGCCCUUUUGUCAGGGAAGAAACACCGGCUCUAACACAGUCCGGGAAUGACGGUACCUGAAGAAUAAGCACCGGCUAACUACGUGCCAGCCGCCGCGGUAA